CUAGCCCUAAACGGUGCUUGCUUGCUGUAAGAGGAAUCGACCCCUCUUGUGGCGGAGCUAACGCGUUAAGCAAGCCGCCUGGGAAGUACGGUCGCAAGAUUAAAACUCAAAGAAAUUGACGGGGGCCUGCACAAGCGGUGGAGUAUGUGGCUUAAUUCGAUGCAACGCGAAGAACCUUACCUGGCCUUGACAUGCAUAUAGUAGAAGCCUGAAAGGGUGACGAGGUAGCAAUACCAGUAUGCACAGGUGC
RNAcentral lists this ribosomal RNA (250 nucleotides) under uncultured bacterium. Its description in RNAcentral is "partial 16S ribosomal RNA". It matches the Rfam family "Bacterial small subunit ribosomal RNA", at positions 796 to 1041 of the family's 1533-position model. The record is from RNAcentral.